UCGUAUACAGGGGAAAUUCCUUGUAUACGGCGGAUUUGUCGGCGUGCCCGGGGAACGAGACAUCCGGGGCGUGACAGACUUAAAUAAAACAAAACUGAAAUGUUCGGCAGUAAAAUCAAAAUUUUGAAAGGUUGGUAUAGCCAACUAAAAAUCGUUCAUAGUUCAAACAAAUUCUAUACAUUCUCACCAAAAAAAUAAUAAUAAUGCUAAAUUUACAAUCCAAGGUGGGUUGUAAUCUUACAACUGUUUUGUCCAAAAGCCACCUUUUCUCCGCAAGUCUUAUCGCUUCUUUUGUUUUUUUUGCUUUUUUAGUAAAAUAAAACAAGGUUGUUUUUAAUAUUAGAGAACAGUAUUUUUAAUAUUUAUAUUCAAUACUUCAUCUCAUGUCUAGACUUGAGACCUCAAGAUCUUUUGUGAAUUAAAUAAAUAAAAAUUAAAUAAUAUUAGGUGUAUUGUUUGACUCGAAUUUAGGAUUUUUCUUUUCUUAUAUCAUAUUAAAUUAUAUGAAACAACUGUUUUCAUCGAAAAUUUAAGCUAUUAGGUAACUGUAUUUUUAAUAUUUAUAUUCACGAGAAAGCAAAUAUAAAUAGAGAUAUUUGAAUCCCAACAUGUAUUUGAAGGAAAAUACAAAUUCGAAUUCAAAUUCAACUAUAAAAAAUUAUUAAUUUAUUACUAAAUUCACGUCCUAAUUGAAUC
This 696-nucleotide long non-coding RNA is filed under the name Ananas comosus (pineapple). Its description in RNAcentral is "long non-coding RNA (ACOM_LNC016818)". Lineage: Eukaryota; Viridiplantae; Streptophyta; Magnoliopsida; Poales; Bromeliaceae. The record is from RNAcentral.